RNAcentral lists this transfer RNA (87 nucleotides) under Candidatus Omnitrophota bacterium. Its description in RNAcentral is "Candidatus Omnitrophica bacterium tRNA-Leu". It matches the Rfam family "tRNA". From Rfam's summary of the family: Transfer RNA (tRNA) molecules are approximately 80 nucleotides in length. Their secondary structure includes four short double-helical elements and three loops (D, anti-codon, and T loops). Further hydrogen bonds mediate the characteristic L-shaped molecular structure. tRNAs have two regions of fundamental functional importance: the anti-codon, which is responsible for specific mRNA codon recognition, and the 3' end, to which the tRNAs corresponding amino acid is attached (by aminoacyl-tRNA synthetases). tRNAs cope with the degeneracy of the genetic code in two manners: having more than one tRNA (with a specific anti-codon) for a particular amino acid; and 'wobble' base-pairing, i.e. permitting non-standard base-pairing at the 3rd anti-codon position. The record is from RNAcentral. Lineage: Bacteria; Pseudomonadati; Candidatus Omnitrophota.
GCGCAGGUGGUGGAAUCGGCAUACACGUAAGGUUGAGGGCCUUAUGGCCGCAAGGCUGUGCGAGUUCAAAUCUCGCCCUGCGCACCA